AGUACAGAUUGAGAAGAACUGUGAUCUAAGGUCAUUGGUUUGGUUAAGGUGUGAUUGACAGGUUGAGACCGGAAGUGUGAGCAUGUGUUUUUGGGGAAAACUUGACAGGGAAAAAAAGCGGGACGACGACAAGAAAAAAGCACAGCGGACACGCAUGGCCGCGAGUGUGAAAGUCUACAGAGAUAACAGUUAAGUGUAGUUUUCAGUGUCCAAGAGAUUGUCUGCUCGACUCUCGGAACCCGGAUAUAGAAGCUACUGCUGUUUAGUGUACAGCUUGAGAAGUUUCAGCUCGGAACUUCUAUCGAAGCUGCACUGUUGUUAGCUUAGCCCAGCUACUGAGCUAACUCGUAGUGUGUUGUUAGCAUUCGCUAUCAAAGCGAACGGACUUAGCCGUGAGGAGCUAAACCAGCUUCUGCUAUCGGCUGUGCCUGUGGUCUCAGCGCGGGAGCACGAGGGUUCGGAUCGGCCGCUGCCAGUGCGUGUGACGCGUCAUCGUUGGAGGCUGCCUGUGCGUGUGACGCGUCAUCGUUGGAGGCUGCCAGUGCGUGUGACGCGUCAUCGUUGGAGGCUGCUUGUGCGUGUGACGCGUCAUCGUUGGAGGCUGCCUGUGCGUGUGACGCGUCAUCGUUGGAGGCUGCCAGUGCGUGUGACGCGUCAUCGUUGGAGGCUGCCAGUGCGUGUGACGCGUCAUCGGUGGGGGCUGCCAGUGCGUGUGACGCGUCAUCGGUGGAGGCUGCCAGUGCGUGUGACGCGUCAACGUUGGAGGCUGCCUGUGCGUGUGACGCGUCAUCGGUGGAGGCUGCCAGUGCGUGUGACGCGUCAUCGGUGGAGGCUGCCUGUGCGUGUGACGCGUCAUCGUUGGAGGCUGCCAGUGUGUGUGUGACGCGUCAUCGGUGGAGGCUGCCUGUGCGUGUGACGCGUCAUCGUUGGAGGCUGCCAGUGUGUGUGUGACGCGUCAUCGUUGGAGGCUGCCUGUGCGUGUGACGCGUCAUCGUUGGAAGCUGCCUGUGCGUGUGACGCGUCAUCGUUGGAAGCUGCCUGUGCGUGUGACGCGUCAUCGUUGGAGGCUGCCAGUGUGUGUGUGACGCGUCAUCGUUGGAGGCUGCCUGAGCGUGUGACGCGUCAUCGUUGGAAGCUGCCUGUGCGUGUGACGCGUCAUCGUUGGAGGCUGCCUGUGCGUGUGACGCGUCAUCGUUGGAGGCUGCCAGUGUGUGUGUGACGCGUCAUCGUUGGAGGCUGCCUGAGCGUGUGACGCGUCAUCGUUGGAAGCUGCCUGAGCGUGUGACGCGUCAUCGUUGGAGGCUGCCUGUGCGUGUGACGCGUCAUCGUUGGAGGCUGCCUGUGCGUGUGACUCGUCGUCGGUGGGCGUCGUGCCGGGCUGCCAGGGACGCUCCAUCACCUGCACAGCGGCCUGUCUUCAAUCCACCUGCAGUGUCGCCUUCAGGACUCGGACCAGGGUUGUGACCUUGACGUGCUGCAGGAACCAGACAACAAUCAUCAGUGUGUCCUCCCAGAGCCGACGUACACGACCAGGCUGUUUGUUUUAAUGAUCUGUUCUGGUAAGCAUUGAUGAGUGACAGGGACGAGCCACUAGGAGGAGAGUGUGAGGCAAGUAGAGAAAACUAUACAACGAUGUAUUUUAUGCUUGAUGCUGUAGAUUUAUCUGAAGAAUAAGUGAGAUGUGGAUGAUUUAAAGGAGGGAGAGGAGGGGGAAGACAGGAUUUAACUCAGGAUAAAGCUCUGUGUGUGUGUGUGUGUGUGUGUGUGUGUGUGUGUGUGUGUGUGUGUGUGUGUGUGUGUGUUGUGUGGGUAGGUGUGUGGCAGUAAAUCAAUAAAGAAGAUCUCCCACCACAGACACAGCCCAGGUGGUUUCUGGGAAAAAAUAAUGGAGUAAAUUAUAACUUAAAUAUUACCUCUGAGAACAAAGGGAGAGGCGGUCAACACAGUUUUGCAUUGUGGGUAGACACUUAUAGCAGCGGUGCACAAUAAUACCAAUAGAAUAAAAUAUAAUAAUAAUCAUAAAUUAGGUAAUAUUAAGGUUAACCCCAGCCCUGACUAACCCUAACCCUGACUAACCCCAGCCCUGACUAACCCUAGCCCUCCUGCUGCAGACACAUCCAGUCUUUUAUGACUUCCUCAUUUCAGUGUCCUGGAGUCAGCUGUGUUUCAUCCUGGUCUGGGAGUGUUUAGUGUCCAGUGGUCAGAGGCCAAGUCACAGCUUAAUCAGCACAAACAGGAGUCCUGUGUGUGUGUGUGUGUGUGUGUGUGUGUGUGUGUGUGUGUGUGUGUGUGUGUGUGUGUGUGUGUGUGUGUGUGUGUGUGUGUGUGUGUGUGUGUGUGUGUGUGUGUGUGUGUGUGUGUGUGUGUGUGUGUUCACUGCUAAGGUCAGGCUCUAAUCAGUUAAAAUUGAGAGUCGGGCGCAUAAAAGUCCUUUAGGAGGCUGCAUGGUGUGUGUGUGUGUGUGUGUGUGUGUGUGUGUGUACCUGUAUGCACCCCAGGUACACCCCUACCCCCACCCCACCACACACACACUCCCUCCUCUCCUUCUUUCCUUCCCUCGGUCAUUGUCUCCUUCUCUCUCCACUUGUUCAUCCUCUGUCUUUCACCUUGUUCUUUCCCUUUUCAAUCAAUUAUUCUUUCUCUUUCUUUUCCCCCCUUUACCUCCUUUCUCCUUUGUCUUUCUCUUUUCCUUUUAAUUCACUUUCCUCAUCCUUUCUUCCUCCUUAUCCUUUAUCUCCUUUUUAUCUCUCCCUCUUUGUCUCACCUGUCUUCUGUUCUUUGCCCUCUCCAUUCCUCUCUCUCCUGUUUUACUUCCUCUCUGUUGUUUCGUUCCGUUUUUCUCCCCCCAUCUUUCCUCUGCUUAAAUAAUCAUCCAGCUGAAGACAGUUCAUGUUGCACAGCAAAGGAAUAUUUUCUCUGGGGAAAUGAAUCUUUUCUCCUUUCUCUUCCUUCCUAUGAAUCUCCAUUUAUCAUGUGUUUUAAAUUCACCUCUGUCAUUACAUCGUGUUUUUAUUAUUUUAGAUGCCAAAUUCCAACUCUGCAAUUCUCAAUAAAGACAGUGUGGUAGCAUAAUGUUUGCAUCAAACAGGAAGUACCGGAGGGAAUGGAGUGUCAUUAGUUCUGCUGGUGUUUGGUCAUAAACCAAAACAAUAAACUCAGAUUUUGACUGACUGAUGAUGCUGGAGAAAAGUCAUGUCAUUAUUAUCAUUAUUAUUGCUGCAUAUGAAGCAUUUAGACAAAAUCAAGCUCUCACCUGCUCCUGGAACGGAGUUACAAUUUCUUCUCUGAUUUCCUCAACUUGGAAAAUAUAGGAAAGAAUUAUGACCAGUGUGUUUGUAUUGGGAUUUCUUACAUUUUAUGACCCAUCCCUCACAGCAUAUAAAGUUCUUGAAAAGCCCAAUAAUCCAUGGAGGAAAGAGAUGGAGGCCAUUGAACCUACACAUAUGAACAUUAGGAGAAUAAACUGGUAGAAUGAAGAAUCACUGUUGGCUUGUUAGAGUUCCUGCUCCAUCUGUUAUGGUCCCAGGGUUUUUUAGUUUUUUGGACUUUUUUGGACUUUCUUGAUGAUUUAGUUUUCUGUGUUUUGGGUUUCUAUUCUGGGUUUAGAGUAUUUUUGGUUUGAGUAUUUCUGGUUUGGGUAUUUCUAGUGUCUAGUUUAGUCUUCCCUGUCUUGUGCUCUGUUUCCCCGUGCACUUCCUGUUUUAUUUUGUAAUUUGUUUCCUUGUGUGUCUCAGUGUUUUGCUUCCUGUCUUGGUCUUGUUUCUGUGUGGUGAUUGUCUGCCCCGCCCUAAUGUUUCACCUGUGUUCAAUCACCCUUGUCGGUUCGUCUGUUGAUCUCUGGGUUUGUCAUCAUGGCUUUCUUGGAGGCGCCUCGGUCCUCUCGGCCAGCACCCUCGUCGGUCUGCAGGCCCCUUUGCACGCUGGCUGACCCCCUCUCUGACUCUGACGAGUCCCCUUUCAAGGGAACUCGUCUGGCUAUUUUCAGGGGAUUUCGUGGAGGCCACGGAAGGCGAGGUAAUCAUGGCUCCCGUCGCCAUGGAGAAGCUCGGCCUUGGCCCCAGCCCCAGGUUCCUCGCUUCCAGCCAAAGCCCCAGCUACCCCAAUUCCUGGAUCCCUCCCUGGCUCCUGAAUUGGGUGGGCUGGACAAAGUCAAUCCUGCUCCUCGUGUCCUGUCGGCGGCCCAGCUGACUCCUGCCUCUGGUACCCAGUCGGCUCCUGCUCGCCCUCCAGAGGGGCGACGCCAUCCUCCGGCUCGACCUCCGGAGAGACCCCGUCUUCGCCGCCGGUCUCCAGAACGGCUCCGUCCGUUUGCCCGGCCUCCAGGUCGCCCCACUGAACUGCCCAGCCUGUACAUAAAGCCUCCGAGCCGUCCACCUGAGUUGCCCUGUUUUGUCCCUUGUCCCGCCCUGGGGUCGUCUGGAAGCCGUCCCUUAAGGGGGGGGGGGUACUGUCAUGGUCUCAGCCUGGAGGCUCCAGGGUUUUGGUAGUUCUAAUUAUGCAAAGCUCAUUCAAGCUUUUUGAAAAACAUUGGACUGAAACCUGAAGGAGAACCAAACAGUUGUUUUUUAUGAUUAUAAAGAUCUAAUCUUCAUUCGUGUGUUUUACUCGGAGAUAGUCCAGAACAGAGUCAUGAUUCAUAUUAAUGUCAAAUCAAAGCUUUUCCUGCCAUAACAAGUCAAACUGUUUAUUGUUUGAAAGGAUUUAUUACAGUAACUGGCUCAAGACUGUAUGUAGGGGAAUUCAAUUUCCUAUAAUUACUAUUGGCUGCUGUUCACUUCAAGUGAUGUAGCCUCGCUUUAAGUUGUAAUUUGAGAGUUAUUCGUGGUAACCAUGGUAACCAAUGAGGGCCAGUAAAAGUCCAGUACACCACUGUUCUCGAGUCACUUUGUCCUUUACUGUGUCUCUACUCAUGUCAGCUCCAUCAUCUGGGUUUCUACUCUCUCGGCCAAGAAAGAUGAAACAUUAAUGAACCCUCAGGCACAAACACACCAGCUGUCUCUACCUUGUUCUCCAUCCACUAUUUCUGUCCUGCCUCCCGCAUUGUGAAUUCAUGAACUUCUGCCCUGCCAUUCCCAAUCACCACUCAACGAGCAGCAGUCUGAUUUGUCAAGAUGCUGGUAAGUGGUCUUACGUUUCAUCUCCUCUGACAGCUUGAAGAGCAGAAUCAGCCCCUGGAGGGUUUCGUGAGGCGCAGAGAAGGUCUUUCACUCAGACAGUACGAUCCAGUCACACGGGACCAGGGACCUCUGAGAAGCAUGGCUCUCCUUCCAGAGUCAAGUACAUUGUUCAAGUGUCUGGGAGGUGAGUUGUGGGAUUUUUAAGAACAAACCCAGAGUAAUGUCUGUGAUUGGAAAUGACACUGAGGAAUUUACAGAGAGAAUUACAGCGAAAGAAAUUCAUUUUCUUCAAUCAGCCCAGCUCCUCGCGGUUAAAGAAGGUUUCCCUCCCUCAGCUCGAUUCCAGUUUCCACUUCUUUUGAGAAACACAGGGAAAAACACAUUCACCAGGACAAUGGCUGGUGUUUUACACAUUAAUUCAUUCAACUCUUCAGCACUCACUCUGCCUCUUCUGCUGCUUUGCCACAUCUGUGUGACCAGUCACCAGCUGAGAGCUCUUCACUCCAACAACAACAGCUUCAACCACCAGUCACUCAUUUGUGAAAUCCUGUUUUUAUAUAAACUUUUAUUGCUGCAAACAAAAUGUAUUUUGCUUUAAUGUGUUUGGUCCCAUAGUCCAAAUUACUUUUCAUCACAGUGAACAAAAACAUUUGGUUUUGGUUUAUUCAUAAUCAGCAUGAUGCAACACAGACUUUGAACAUUUGAACUUGAAGUUAAUGUUAAUGUUGAUGUUAAUAAUAAUUAAUUAUGACAAAGAAGACCAGCGGCAGCCUCUGGCCUCCUUAUGGCAUCUCACAUUCAACUGUAUCAGAUUUUUGUUAGAAAGCUGCUAUUUUAUUUUAUGGGACAAAAAACAGAAAACUCAGACAAUUUUUCUGAAUUUUUUGGCAGCUGAAAACAAUCAUGUCUGUCAUUUGUUGUUCCUGAAGACAAGAACAAGUAGCGACAUCUUUAUUCCAUCAGCAUCGGUGUUCACUCGAAACAUGGUCUGAAUUUAAGAGGCACAAAACCGCUGGAAUCAGAUUCAACUAAUUUUUACCGUUUUCUUAUAAAUGUUUAAAUGACUUAAUGAACCAUUAUCAAGGCACUUAUCAGUAGAUUUUCUGAACUUUCUAUUAUAUAGUGGAGACUGAUGAGAACACUGAGACAGACCAUCACAGUCCUGGUAUGAUUAAAUAUCUGUUUUAAAUUUCCAGUUGCAUAUUUGAGGUUUUGUUGGCAUGUGGCUUAUUUAAAAUAUGGCCGAAAUAUACUUUUGACAUUUGA
Molecule: long non-coding RNA, 6383 nt
Organism: Seriola aureovittata
Lineage: Eukaryota; Metazoa; Chordata; Actinopteri; Carangiformes; Carangidae
Exons: 2
Source: RefSeq, a predicted model, not a curated record